CAUGAAUCCGCCAUGGGUGUAAGUUUGAGGAUUUCAAAAGUUCCCCACACUGCCCAUUGACAUUCUGAAUUGCCUUUGGUAAGAUUGGUCCAUUUAGUUAGAAAUGACCAUGGCUUUUAAAUACAAAAUUAGUGGGGGUCCCUUUAAGGUGAGCAUCGUCAGAGUAUUCAGACAUCUGGGAUCUCCUUUCUCAGAACUUUUUCUCUUCUAGAGUUUUUGAACAACCUGGACAGCUCAAGUAACUUACAUGUUGGACUUCUUUCAGCUUAGAUAGCCUGCAUACCAGCCAGUUCUAAGGGGGCAGCUUGGUCUCAGAGAAGCCAGGCCGAAGACUUCUCAGCUCUGUUCCCAUAUGAUAGCUUGUGUUCCAAAAGAAUGGGCUGAAGGAUGAACCAGCAAAGUUCCAAUGAAAUGGACCCUGUUCCUGAAGACCAGCUCAUUCUGUUUGAAACCAUCUGAUUUCAAAUCCGACCAAAGUGCAAAAAAAAAAAAAAAAAAAAAGAAAAAAAAGCACUCACAAACAGAAGAAGGCCUUCACCAGAAAGGAUGAGACCUUAAAAUAGAUCCUGAAUAAAGCCGGGAGGGCAGCAAAAUACUGAGAGCAGAAGCUUGAAUCCAGGAAAAAAAGACCUUCCAAACUCCAGGGCUGGUUAGAAAAGCAGUGAGCAACAGUGUCUUUGAAGGCGAUCAAACACUGGGAGGAACAGAAACCAGAGACUGGGGCUCAGCAGGACCCUCCCUGCUAACCUCAGAACUGCUGGGCAUCUUCUUGCUUCCUGUCACUCGCCAAAAGGAGCAGUGUUUGAACUGCUUUCUUGAUGGGUCAGAUGCAGUGGCCCUUUGGGUGGGUCUGACCUCUGUUGGCUCAGCGGGGACUGUGCCCUGGGUUCAGGCUGCUCUUGUACGAGCCCUAGGGGGCACUCAGAGCAAGGGAAGGUCAGGGCCACCUGGGGGACCUUGUCCUCCUUGGUGACAGCAGUGACACAGGGCGGUGAGUGCUGGUGGCCGGUGCUCAGCCUUGCAGGGGGGUUGGGCUUCAGGAAGGACGCAUCUCACAGUGUGGGCUUCAUUGUCAAGGCUGCGAAGGUGACACCUUUCUCACCCCUCCUGUCUGCCUUUGAGGCCUCAAGGGCCAGAGCACAGGUGGGCACACUGUGGGCACACUGCUCAGGAAAAGCCUCACGCCUUAGCCCAGGGCCACGGUGGUCUGGGAGGUGCUCCCAAAGUGAGACUGAAGAAAAUACUGGAUUGGCCAGAAAGUCCCUCUGGGUUUUUCUGUAA
RNAcentral lists this long non-coding RNA (1281 nucleotides) under Capra hircus (goat). RNAcentral describes it as "lncRNA (ENSCHIG00000004911.1)". The record is from RNAcentral. Lineage: Eukaryota; Metazoa; Chordata; Mammalia; Artiodactyla; Bovidae.